UACAGAGGGUGCAAGCGUUGUUCGGAAUCACUGGGCGUAAAGGGCGUGUAGGCGGUCAGGUAAGUGGGAUGUGAAAUGCCCCGGCUCACCCGGGGACCGGCAUCCCAUACUGCUUGGCUUGAGUACGGGAGAGGAUGUGGGAAUUCCUGGUGUAGCGGUGAAAUGCGUAGAUAUCAGGAGGAACACCGGUGGCGAAGGCGCACAUCUGGCCCGAUACUGACGCUGAGGCGCGAAAGCUAGGGGAGCAAACGGG
RNAcentral lists this ribosomal RNA (253 nucleotides) under uncultured bacterium. RNAcentral's name for it is "partial 16S ribosomal RNA". It matches the Rfam family "Bacterial small subunit ribosomal RNA", at positions 524 to 776 of the family's 1533-position model. The record is from RNAcentral.